UGUGCGAGUGUUAUUAGCAAUUAAUGCACGUCGAGCAGUUGCUGUCGUGCCUCGCUCAUACCUGGUCGUCUUAGGCUUACUGGUGCUGCAACCGAGGACAAAGGAUACAUGCAACUAUAAACAACUCACGAACCUGCAAUAGAAGUUAUCAAGAAAAGCUCAGAUUAAAAUUACACUGGGAGGAUAAAUGAUAUAGAGCGAGCUUUUGAAUCUAAAUUGUAUUUGUUCUGACCCAUAAAAAUUUAAAAUUAAUAUCAAAGAUGAAGCUGUUGACUUUGGUGAUGGCGCUUCUGGCUUGCCUCUCCCUGGCCGUUGGGAUGCCUGACCCUGAACCUCAAUUUGGCUUCGGCAUCGGAUUCGGGAGAGGUUUCGGUUGGGGCUACGGCCGUCGAGGAUUCGGAAGACGAAGAUUCGGACGUCGAGGAUUCGGCUUCGGGCGAGGAUUCGGACGGCGUGGAUUUGGUGGUUUUAGAUUUGGUCGUGGAUACCGAGGCUAAGGAGUAGAUAAUAAAAUCGUUGCACAGGCAGCAGUUGACGCAAAUGUUUUUGGUUUAUUUUUUUAUUGUUCUUCAGGAUCUUAUUAGUUCUCUUUAAUUAUUUUUUUCUUUUUUUUCGAAAAUUCAUCCAUAAGGGCAUUAAUGGAAUGAUAAGCCGUAUUUGGUUAGAGUAAAUUCUAUAAUUAUUGUGAUUUUCAGCGAUAUUUUUAUGUAGAUUAUGCUACAAAGGGCAUUAUUUUGAUAUUUAGAUCAUUAAGAAACGUCUUUAACAUACUUAAGCCUGCCUAUGUGUCAACGCUAGAUAAAUUCAAAUGAAGUUUUACAAAAUUAACAUCCUUUGUUGCCUCCACAUUUUCUGGACUCGAAAAAGAAAUUUCUGUUCCAGUGAACACAAUAUUUAACGACAUUCUCCCUGAAUGAGCCUUGCAUUUUCAUAUUCUAGUUGUCAUAAUCCUCCAUAAUAUUUGUUUAGAGAAUACAAACCGUAUACCAUCUUUCUUGAAACCAAACAGCUCAUUUUGUUCGCUAUUUGCAUUUCAACAAACUUCAACUAAAACCAUGUCUUCAAACAUUAAGGCAUUCUAAAAUCUAGGGGCAUUACACGUACAAAAAGUCCAUUGCUUCUCUACUGUCGGGCCGACAUCUUUCUGUCCUAUGUCUCAAGUGGCAUUCAAACCACUUCCGUAAAAUUAGCCAUCAUUAUUAUCUAAUAAGUUCAUGUAUCGGUUAUGUUUCUUCUAUUUCUUUAUUACAAUAUAAAAGUAAUUAUCAUACCAAGCAUAAAGUUUUUAUUUUGAGUACAAUAGACUUCAAUACUUAUUGCAACUCGAGCAAUCAUCCUAACUCGAGUUUACAUAUCUGCGUCUGGCAUCUGUCAAUUGAAAUUCGUUCAAAUUUGUUGUAGUUUAAUUUUUAUUUUGCGCUUCAUAACCAAAUUAAUUAGGCUGUUUAUAAAAUUUUCCGCAUUUUUUAUUAUUGGUGUUUUGCGUUUGAUGGAUGAUUUGUAUUUUGUUAAACCAAUUGCAAAUUAUUUUGAUCAACGGGACUGAUUUUAAUUACAGGGUAAUUCACGAAUACUUCUUGUUUUGUAAUUCGCGCCAGCAGCCAGAUAUUGUAGGAAAAGGACAGAGAGUAUUUUAUAUGCAAGACAAGGUCAUGAAAUUUUGUCUGCCGCAAAGUCGGUUGCUACUAUAUGCAUUGGACAAGUGAGCAGCGUGCGUUUCCUGUCGAGACGUACUUUUCAAAUGGCCGUUCCAUUAUAGCUACUCUAAACUUUUUUAGUAAUACUUUUUCAUUUAGACCAAAAUGAAGAAUUAUGGAAAUACUAAUAAAUCUAAUACAUAAGUCCCCGACCUGCAAACAAAAAUUUGACAUAUGAUAAUAAAACAAUCGAAAAUUAUUUACAGUAUUCCAAAUUUAACUUUAAGUAUACAAGUUUUACUGAUGUGAGAGCUAUCGACGAAACUCAAAAAUUACAUGCAUAACAUCACACGAGUUACACGGUUGUUUGCAAUAAACAAUAUUGGAGACAUCGA
Long non-coding RNA from Hyalella azteca, 2032 nucleotides. RefSeq lists it as uncharacterized. The record is from RefSeq and is a predicted model, not a curated record. NCBI's taxonomy places the organism in Eukaryota, Metazoa, Arthropoda, Malacostraca, Amphipoda, Hyalellidae. The transcript is spliced from 2 exons.